UACGUAGGGUGCGAGCGUUAAUCGGAAUUACUGGGCGUAAAGCGUGCGCAGGCGGUUCGUUGUGUCCGAUGUGAAAGCCCCGGGCUUAACCUGGGAAUGGCAUUGGAAACUGGCGAGCUUGAGUGCGGCAGAGGGGGGUGGAAUUCCGCGUGUAGCAGUGAAAUGCGUAGAGAUGCGGAGGAACACCGAUGGCGAAGGCAGCCCCCUGGGUCGACACUGACGCUCAGGCACGAAAGCUAGGGGAGCAAACAGG
Molecule: ribosomal RNA, 253 nt
Filed under: uncultured bacterium
Lineage: Bacteria
Description: partial 16S ribosomal RNA
Rfam family: Bacterial small subunit ribosomal RNA
Source: RNAcentral